AACACGCGACUGACGACGACGAUACCCUCCUUUCUCCUCUUUUCAGGCCAAGUCUGUGUCCAAGGUCAUCAAGGCCGACAUCUACCCCGAGUUCGGCACCUACCCCGGCGGCGGCGAGUCCCCCAUCAUCCCCUUCGGCUCCGAGAAGAACGCCGAGCGUGAGGUCAUCCACGGCCGCUGGGCGAUGCUCGGCGUGACCGGUGCCUGGGCCGCCGAGAACGGCACCGGCAUCCCCUGGUUCACCGCCGGUACCCUCUGCACCCCCGACGACUGCACCGCCGUCGCGGACAAGUUCCCCGGCGCCGUCGCUCCCCUCGCCCCCGAGGGCUCCGGCUACCCCUCCUUCUGGGCCGUCCUCGCCAUCGAGGUCGUCCUCGUCGGCCUCGCUGAGGCUUACCGCACCGGCCUCUCCGACCCCGUCUUCGACGAGCUCACCGUCGGUGACGUGUCCCCCGGUGGCCGCUUCGACCCCCUCGGCCUCGCCGAGUCCGGUGACCUCGAGGAGCUCAAGAUCAAGGAGCUCAAGCACUGCCGCCUCUCCAUGUUCGCGUGGCUCGGCUGCAUCAUGCAGGGUCUCGCCACCCAGGAGGGCCCCAUCGCCAACUGGCAGGCGCACGUCGCGGACCCCGUCCACGCCAACGUGCUCACCAACGCCGCCUCCGGCUUCGGCUUCUACUAAAUUGUGCGACCUCGCACGAUGGUAGUCCGUCCUGUUGUACCACUUGACUCUAGCGUUAGGUAGUUAGCCAAGGGAGAGUUGUAACAAAGCUUCUCGCUUCCACAAGUCUUAUGCUCCCGCACUCGAAAAAGCGAAUCCUCCGAACCGUACUGAACCAAUGAACCAACGCGAGCUUCGCGGGAAAUUAGAAAGUUCCCGAUUCUCGCUUUGUGGACCAAUGGGAGCGCGGCAGCCGCCGAAUGGAUCCGCUAAAUCCUCAUCGAUGGUUUGUUUUCUUCGAUGAAAUCCAGUUCAGGAGCUUUUCAUUGGCUUUUCAAGAGACGAGAAUCAAUUGCUGCGCUGUGACUGGCCGAAAAGGGAGAUUCUGUUGGCCUGAUUCGCAUCAAAGUGAGUAAAAAGCUGACUCGCCGCAACUCCCUCGCCAUUCCAGCACACGCAACUUUGCAACACACACACCAAAACUCAUUACUACAAUCAUGGCCUGCAUUGCCUCCUCCUUCACCGGCUCCGUCGCGGCCCUCAAGGCGACCAAGAUCCAGGUGCGCAUCGCAUCAUGCGCCGUGUUCCGUGUCCGUUCUCUUCUUCGGCAAAUGCCCAAAAAAACGCCGAAAUCGCGGGCCAAGGCUCCGCCGAAAACACGCGACUGACGACGACGAUGCCCUCCUUUCUCCUCUUUUCAGGCCAAGUCUGUUUCCAAGGUCAUCAAGGCCGACAUCUACCCCGAGUUCGGCAC
RNAcentral lists this long non-coding RNA (1412 nucleotides) under Micromonas commoda. Its description in RNAcentral is "long non-coding RNA (MCOM_LNC000137)". Lineage: Eukaryota; Viridiplantae; Chlorophyta; Mamiellophyceae; Mamiellales; Mamiellaceae. The record is from RNAcentral.